This 421-nucleotide long non-coding RNA is filed under the name Physcomitrium patens. RNAcentral's name for it is "long non-coding RNA (PPAT_LNC013796)". Lineage: Eukaryota; Viridiplantae; Streptophyta; Bryopsida; Funariales; Funariaceae. The record is from RNAcentral.
AGUGGAUAUAAAAAAACUUUAUUUUGAGUUUUAUCUAUUUUGAUGAUAGUAUUUAAAAAAAUUAUAAGACCUAAAUAUUUAAUAUGAAGCUUUGAGAAGAAAUUAGAGCCUAAAGAAUUCUUAACAAGUAGGAGGCUUAUUAGAAGGAAUAAAAGCAAGGCAUGGUUGGAUGAAGGCAAGGAAUGAGGAUCUUCAUUCCUAUUGGUCGAAGGCCAUACCCAAUGGGCUUCAAGGAGGCUGCUUGAGGCCUUAUUAGGGAUUAGGAUUUCUCUUUUGAAGUCAUUCUAGCUUUGGAGGCUAGGAUCAUCAAGUUCAGGAUUCUAGAUACAAAUUGAGUGCAAAUUUUGUAUGAUUUGGAGUUAUUAUGAAGGAUUUAUUAGUGCUCAAAGUUAAGGUAUUAAUUUCAUACCUAUUGUCACUC